AUUGAACGCUGGCGGCAGGCUUAACACAUGCAAGUCGAGCGAGCGGCGGACGGGUGAGUAAUGUCUGGGAAACUGCCUGAUGGAGGGGGAUAACUACUGGAAACGGUAGCUAAUACCGCAUACCAUCAGAUGUGCCCAGAUGGGAUUAGCUAGUAGGUGGGGUAAUGGCUCACCUAGGCGACGAUCCCUAGCUGGUCUGAGAGGAUGAUCAGCCACACUGGAACUGAGAAACGGUCCAGAAUCCUACGGGAGGCAGCAGUGGGGAAUAUUGCACAAUGGGCGCAAGCCUGAUGCAGCCAUGCCGCGUGUGUGAAGAAGGCCUUAGGGUUGUAAAGCACUUUCAGCGGGGAGGCGUUACUCGCAGAAGAAGCACCGGCUAACUCCGUGCCAGCAGCCGCGGUAAUAC
Molecule: ribosomal RNA, 406 nt
Filed under: uncultured bacterium
Lineage: Bacteria
Description: partial 16S ribosomal RNA
Rfam family: Bacterial small subunit ribosomal RNA
Source: RNAcentral